This 72-nucleotide transfer RNA is filed under the name Treponema sp. Its description in RNAcentral is "tRNA-Val". It matches the Rfam family "tRNA". From Rfam's summary of the family: Transfer RNA (tRNA) molecules are approximately 80 nucleotides in length. Their secondary structure includes four short double-helical elements and three loops (D, anti-codon, and T loops). Lineage: Bacteria; Pseudomonadati; Spirochaetota; Spirochaetia; Treponematales; Treponemataceae. The record is from RNAcentral.
GGUCAAUUAACUCAGUGGUAGAGUGCUACCUUCACACGGUAGAAGUCACUAGUUCGAAUCUAGUAUUGACCA